GAGCGAUCAUAAGGGAGCUGACUGCAAAUCUGCCGUCAUCGACUUCAAGGUUCAACUCGAGCAAUAGUGAGAGAACGUUGCCGCAGGCAACGGCCCGAAGGGUGAGGAGCUUUAGCUCCGAAUAAUCCUUCCCGCUAUAGAA
This 142-nucleotide small RNA is filed under the name Salmonella enterica. Its description in RNAcentral is "RtT sRNA". It matches the Rfam family "RtT RNA". From Rfam's summary of the family: This family represents a bacterial cis-regulatory element known as RtT RNA. The exact function of RtT is unknown although it is thought that it may be involved in changing the cellular response in relation to amino acid starvation. RNAcentral also lists the same sequence under 1 other name. The record is from RNAcentral. Lineage: Bacteria; Pseudomonadati; Pseudomonadota; Gammaproteobacteria; Enterobacterales; Enterobacteriaceae.